This 70-nucleotide transfer RNA is filed under the name Oryzias luzonensis. RNAcentral's name for it is "tRNA-Pro". It matches the Rfam family "tRNA". From Rfam's summary of the family: Transfer RNA (tRNA) molecules are approximately 80 nucleotides in length. Their secondary structure includes four short double-helical elements and three loops (D, anti-codon, and T loops). Further hydrogen bonds mediate the characteristic L-shaped molecular structure. tRNAs have two regions of fundamental functional importance: the anti-codon, which is responsible for specific mRNA codon recognition, and the 3' end, to which the tRNAs corresponding amino acid is attached (by aminoacyl-tRNA synthetases). tRNAs cope with the degeneracy of the genetic code in two manners: having more than one tRNA (with a specific anti-codon) for a particular amino acid; and 'wobble' base-pairing, i.e. permitting non-standard base-pairing at the 3rd anti-codon position. Lineage: Eukaryota; Metazoa; Chordata; Actinopteri; Beloniformes; Adrianichthyidae. The record is from RNAcentral.
CAGGGAGUAGUUUAGCUAAGAAUCCUGGCUUUGGGAGCCAGGGGCAGGGGUUAGAGUCCCUUCUCUCUGA